RNAcentral lists this long non-coding RNA (940 nucleotides) under Zalophus californianus (California sea lion). RNAcentral describes it as "lncRNA (ENSZCAG00015011838.1)". Lineage: Eukaryota; Metazoa; Chordata; Mammalia; Carnivora; Otariidae. The record is from RNAcentral.
CUUCGCAGUGGAUAGACCUGCCAUCAGGUCUGGCCUUGGCACUUGCUGUUUGCAUGCCCAGAAGCAAGAGAUUUCUUGUGGGCCUCAGUUUCUACAUCUGGAGAUUGAAGAUUUCCCUACCUAUCACAGAAGGUUGUUCUGGGGAUUCACUGGAAGAGGAACCUUGAAAAGCUCUGUGAACUUCAAGUUCUAGCCCAAUGUAUGGCACGUGGAUGCUCUCUGACCCCUUGUCAGCUGGUGCACUUUAGCUGAAAAGCCGUGUUCCCGCUAUGUCUUCCAUUUUUUUCCAGAAGCUCUGUCCUUCACUGAGAUCUCCUUUCACUGACUACAUCAUCAGGUCCCUGAGGGUGCAUCUUUGGCCACAUACUUCCGGAUACGCUGCUUUCCUCUCCCCACCAUCACCUUGCUGAGGUGGCCCCAGCACACAGACACACCGGGUGCUGUGGGCUCCAGGAGUCGGUGGCGGGGAGAGGGGACUUCGGUCACGGGGCACACUGGAUCUGGAUCCCGAGAGCGAGGAGGAUGCUUCCCGGUGGAGAAGGGCGGUCUGUCCGGUGAGGAAAUGAAGAUCCUUCCAGAUGAAGAGGGUAGUAAAGCUGGAGGCACAGCUAUAUGGAGACUUGCUGACUUCGGAUGGAAUCCUCUGGUCCCCACCCCUCUGUGUCCCUGUUCUGGAACCUUUCCCUGCUCUGAGACCUUUCCUUCCUGCUUCAGAUCCCUGGGAGGCUACUGUUUCUUUCUUUACCCCCAGUAAAGGCAUCGGGUAUCAGUCAUUCACACCUUAGUAUGAGUCAAUUUCAGUCAAUAUAUUCUCUCUCCAAAAGUAAGUGUCCUUCACUCUGUCUCAGAUUGUAGAGAGAGUCCUCUGCAAGAGGUCUGUCUGGUAUCAAACAACAGCUCAGAAUGUACCCUUGGAUAUAAAGGGGAUCUGCUUACCAGC